AUGGCUUCAGCUUGUUAUCCCCAUGACCCCUUGGCUCCUGUUUACUAUGGUGAAAUCUUGGUGGGAUGCAGUCCUAUCUACCAACAAGCAGCCGGCGACGAUGUGUCUUCAUUAUUACUUCUUGUGGGAUGGGAAAUUUGGAAUGAAAGAAAUGCUCAAGUUUUCAGGAGCAAAGCAGCGCUGGUGGCGGUUGUCAUGCCAGGCAUCAAAUAUGAAGUGUCUAUUUGGGCCAUUGUAGGCUCCAAGCAUUUGAGAAAUAUAAUGUUGCACGACAAAAAAAUACACUUAUGUGAUGAUACGUGUUUCUCACGGUAG
This 315-nucleotide ribosomal RNA is filed under the name Triticum aestivum (bread wheat). Its description in RNAcentral is "partial small subunit ribosomal RNA". Lineage: Eukaryota; Viridiplantae; Streptophyta; Magnoliopsida; Poales; Poaceae. The record is from RNAcentral.